UAUCAUUGUUCUCUAUAAAGCACUUAGAAAAAGCAUCCCUCAUCCUAGGGAUGAAGAUCUAUAAAGAUAGAUCUAAGAGGCUGCUUGGGUUAUCCCAGUCCAACAUACAUAGAGUGUUUAUGAAUAGAAUUUGUUCUAUGAUGUACACCAUGUAUGAGAUCAAAAAUGAUAUACUCACUAGGGUAGUGAGUGGAUACUUGCC
RNAcentral lists this long non-coding RNA (202 nucleotides) under Elaeis guineensis (African oil palm). Its description in RNAcentral is "long non-coding RNA (EGUI_LNC047647)". Lineage: Eukaryota; Viridiplantae; Streptophyta; Magnoliopsida; Arecales; Arecaceae. The record is from RNAcentral.